CUCUCUCUCUCUCUCUCACAUCGUAGCUCCGACGUCUCCCUCCUCCGAUUCUGUUAAUGAGAUUCCGGCACCAGUCCCUGAUCUCCGGAAUCACCGGCGAUCGGCAGGCACAUCGAUCGGUGACGCUUCUCCUUCAGAUUGUUCCCCGUAGGCGACCUCCUUAUUUGGUUUCUGCUCCAGCUCCGGUUGUCCUCAUCUUCCUCCAGAACGUCGUUCAGAAUAUGACGGCUCGUGGUUGCGAGCAAGAAGCUUGUGGUUGAGUAACUUCUUACGCCUUCAUCUUUGAUUGUUUUUGUUCAUAGCAUUUUUGCUUUGUUUAAUCUUCGUGUUUAGCUAGUGUAGCUAUGGAAUUAGUUUCUCCGUGGUUUGAUUCCUAUUUUGUGCUUCGUUUUUGAUAUUCUCUUUUAUUUGAUUUGUGACUGUUUUCUUGUUGCUUUGAGGUUUUGGAAUGAACAAGGCAUUUUUAUUUUACAAUCAGUUUAGUUUUCUCAGACUUUUGCUACUUAAUUUUGAUGUUUGACUUCGAUUUUUCUGAAAUUAGCUAUGAUUCAUCUAAUUUCUUGAAUCUGUGUAUUUUUUGUUUGUUUCUGUAAUGAUUAUCUAUAAGCUUUGCGUUUUUGAACUGCAUAAUGCCUUUUGUUUUCAGUUUUCACAGUCACUUUAGAUGCUUUAGAGGAGUUUCUGUGAAAUUAAAUUUUCUUUGUCUAAUUUCUCGUGUGUUUUUUUGAAAGUUGCUGAAAGCCAAGGCUGAACCAAAAAAGACGCUGAAGAAGGAAAAAUUUUAGAAAGUAAGCAAGAAGGAUGCUAAUGCUUUGAAGCGUCCUGCUGGAGCCUUCUUCAUCUUCAUGUGAAAACAAUUUUUUUGUUUACUAUUCGAUUUGUAUUGAGUGAUCUCUGUAGUGUCAAUGUGUCGUUGCUCUUAUUUUAAUCUUAUGCAGUGUUUGGUUUUGUGGUUGUGAUGAAUUACAGGGAGGAGUUCCACAAACAAAUUGGAGUUUCCUGAUUUAAAAUAUGGACUGGAUGUGAGUGUAUAGAUCUGCACAAUGAGGGGACAAAGUUUAGCCUGGAACUCUUUUCCUUUGCAUUUGCAGUAGUAGAUUUCGAAAAUCAUAUGAAUUUGGAUAUUGAAGCCUCCAUUGACCAAGAGAUCAUUCAGCCAACCAAGAAAUACUUAAAUGAAGUCUCGCACUGAAGGUGGCAAAAUUAUGCCUAUGGGUUUUGAGUGUCACCAUUGAAAAAUGACAGUAGCAUUACAACAUUGAUAGUAGCUUUAUACAACUAUUGUAAUAGAUAUUCACAACUAUGUUAGUGGUUUUUUACAACUAUGGUAGUAGCUUUUUACAUAGUUAUAUUAUUGAAC
Molecule: RNA transcript, 1360 nt
Organism: Rosa chinensis
Lineage: Eukaryota; Viridiplantae; Streptophyta; Magnoliopsida; Rosales; Rosaceae
Exons: 2
Source: RefSeq, a predicted model, not a curated record